GUGGGUAUAGCUCAGCAGCAGAGCGCUUGCUUAGCAUGCAGAAGGUCCUGGGUUCAAUCCCCAGUCCUCCA
This 71-nucleotide transfer RNA is filed under the name Camelus bactrianus (Bactrian camel). It matches the Rfam family "tRNA". Rfam says of the family: Transfer RNA (tRNA) molecules are approximately 80 nucleotides in length. Their secondary structure includes four short double-helical elements and three loops (D, anti-codon, and T loops). RNAcentral also lists the same sequence under 2 other names. Lineage: Eukaryota; Metazoa; Chordata; Mammalia; Artiodactyla; Camelidae. The record is from Rfam by way of RNAcentral.